Molecule: ribosomal RNA, 478 nt
Filed under: uncultured bacterium
Lineage: Bacteria
Description: partial 16S ribosomal RNA
Rfam family: Bacterial small subunit ribosomal RNA
Source: RNAcentral
GACGAACGCUGGCGGCGUGCUUAACACAUGCAAGUCGAACGGUAAGGCCCUUCGGGGUACACGAGUGGCGAACGGGUGAGUAACACGUGGGUGAUCUGCCCUGCACUUCGGGAUAAGCCUGGGCAACUGGGCCUAAUCCGGGAGAGGCCCCCGGCUGCCAGGGGCGCUGGGGGAAAGCUUUUGCGGUGUGGGAUGGGCCCGCGGCCUAUCAGCUUGUUGGUGGGGUGAUGGCCUACCAAGGCGACGACGGGUAGCCGGCCUGAGAGGGCGACCGGCCACACUGGGACUGAGAUACGGCCCAGACUCCUACGGGAGGCAGCAGUGGGGAAUAUUGCACAAUGGGCGCAAGCCUGAUGCAGCGACGCCGCGUGAGGGAUGACGGCCUUCGGGUUGUAAACCUCUUUCAGCACCGACGAAGCGCAAGUGACGGUAGGUGCAGAAGAAGGACCGGCCAACUACGUGCCAGCAGCCGCGGUAA